AUGGAAAAGAGGGUCCUCGAUGACAUAGCAGAAAUCUGGGAAAGCAGACAAGAUUCAAAACAGAGUGACGGAGUAAUAUUAGGCCCAAACUUUGCAGAGAUAUUCGUUCCAAUAGAGAGGCAUGACCGCUAUGUACUAUAUGUGCUGGACAAAUACAAACACAAAGUACACAUUAUUGAUCCUCGAGAAACGACUCCAAAGGAAUUUGAGAAAGAAAAGAUAGACGUGGAUAAAUUGGAUAUAAAAGAAGCAUCUCGAGUUCUUCAGGAAAAUGAAGAUGCUAAAAAAGAAAGAGAAAGACAGUUUCAGGAAUAUCAUGUUCAUAAGUCGGCAAUCGUACCUAGGUUUAAAGAAGUCUUCAACACCAUACUAGGACAAACAAUGAAUGCCAAGGGUACAAGAUGGCAGAUUCAUACCGUGUAA
This 423-nucleotide ribosomal RNA is filed under the name Triticum aestivum (bread wheat). RNAcentral's name for it is "partial small subunit ribosomal RNA". The record is from RNAcentral. Lineage: Eukaryota; Viridiplantae; Streptophyta; Magnoliopsida; Poales; Poaceae.